RNAcentral lists this ribosomal RNA (855 nucleotides) under Triticum aestivum (bread wheat). RNAcentral's name for it is "partial small subunit ribosomal RNA". Lineage: Eukaryota; Viridiplantae; Streptophyta; Magnoliopsida; Poales; Poaceae. The record is from RNAcentral.
AUGUUCUAUGUUGAACUUCAAAGUACACAAAGUCCACGAUCGUACACGUCCCUUUACCUACGGAAACGUGGAGAGGCUUUUCGGGAUAGUCACCUGCCUGGUGCGAUCGAUAGUGUGAGCUACAGCCCUAUCGACGGGCACACCAACAAAUCUAAAGCGUACAAGUUCCAUGGUAUCGGUACCCAUCUCCACGCGCGCCCGACCGGCCGUGUUUAUUUUGAGCACCCAUGGAUGCAUUCCGCGACAUGGGCAACAGGGCAAGCUAGCUGCACCAUGCAUGCGUCCACGCCUCUGCGCGCGUACAAGUUCCGCGUACGGCGGUCUUUCAAGUUUGAGAAUUUCUGGGUAUCUUUGCCCGGAUUCGAUGAGGUGGUAAAAAAAGCUUGGGGCGAGGGGGUGAGGCACACAGAGCCUUACCAAAUCUUGCACCACAAGCUCAAGAAAACCGCGCUUCGUCUCACCGAGUGGAGCAAGAAGGUGUUCUCCAAGGCAAAGAUUCAACUUCAUGCGGCCCAGAUUGUGAUCCUUCACCUCGACAUCGCGCAGGAGGAGAGGCUGCUAUCCCCUGAGGAGCGAGACCUCCGCUCUAGACUAAAGCGAAGGGUGAUCAGUUUGGCGGUGCUUGAGAGGGCUAGGAAGAGCCAGUGCGCUAGGAUUGCAAACUUAAGAGAUGGCGACGCAAACACCAAAUUCUUCCACCGGCGCAUUAACCCCCGUCGAAGAAAAAACCACAUCCAUCGGAUCAAGCGUGAGCAUGGUUGGGUAACUGAGCACAAGGAGAAAGAGAAGAUCAUUCACGACCAUUUCUCCGAGGUGAUGGGAAGGGGGAGCACGAGCAACAAAGACUUUAACUAG